GGAGGGGGAUGGGGCCAUUGCUUUUCCCUAUAAAAAACAGUUGACGGAGCAGUUCGUAUUUGCGUUGGAAUGCUGGCGUGAGGCAUAAAGAGCUGCAAUUCAGUGUCAUAUCACAGAUGACUACAAGGCCAUGGACACGAGAGACAGCAGUGCAUCAGCUGACUCAGUUUAGUAGCUUUUUUUCAGCUGUUUUCAUCCUGUUUCUUCAAAUAAAGGUGUAAUGAGCUUUUACUCUGUAUGAUAUGAUAACAUAUGCACUCACCAUUUAUAAUAAGCAUACAGUUAGCCGUAAAACAAUGUGCUUGGCUUUCUUAAGCCAAUGCACCUCAAACCAUGCAUUUGAAGUGAUGGCAGAACUUAAUUUUCACACAAGUCAGUGCUGCCCACCUCCAUUCACUUUUCAGAGUUACUGUUGGUUCUCUCCUGCUCCUCACAGAUCUGUACUCAGAUGAGUUGGAUUUUUAGCCCAUCUGAAGUUCAUUUAUCAGUGGUAUGUUUUGCAAAAAAAAAUGAAAGCACAUUUUUACUGAGCAUACAGAGUAGGUUUCAAUCAAGGUCAGGCUGUAGUUGACGAUGUGUCUUCGUGGUUCCUAACAGCGAUGUGUUCUUUCCAUCAGACGAGUUGAUACUCGUUCUUUAAGGUCAUACACCAGUAUAUCCUUAACUAACAUAAUCAGCAUUUUCUUUUAUUCUCCCCCGCUCAUAAUCAAAUUAUCUUUGAUCUCUAAUUUACAUUAAAUAAACACCUUUAAGGAAUCUGAAA
This is a non-coding RNA of Coturnix japonica (Japanese quail), 763 nucleotides long. The record is from RefSeq and is a predicted model, not a curated record. NCBI's taxonomy places the organism in Eukaryota, Metazoa, Chordata, Aves, Galliformes, Phasianidae.